CAGCAGCCACGGUAAUACGUAGGGUGCGAGCGUUAAUCGGAAUUACUGGGCGUAAAGCGUGCGCAGGCGGUUUGUUAAGACAGAUGUGAAAUCCCCGGGCUUAACCUGGGAACUGCAUUUGUGACUGGCCGGCUAGAGUAUGGCAGAGGGAGGUGGAAUUCCACGUGUAGCAGUGAAAUGCGUAGAUAUGUGGAGGAACACCGAUGGCGAAGGCAGCCUCCUGGGCCAAUACUGACGCUCAUGCACGAAAGCGUGGGGAGCAAACAGGAUUAGAGACCCCCAGUAGUCCCUGUCUCUUAUA
This 301-nucleotide ribosomal RNA is filed under the name uncultured bacterium. RNAcentral's name for it is "partial 16S ribosomal RNA". It matches the Rfam family "Bacterial small subunit ribosomal RNA", at positions 509 to 808 of the family's 1533-position model. The record is from RNAcentral.